Molecule: ribosomal RNA, 425 nt
Filed under: uncultured bacterium
Lineage: Bacteria
Description: partial 16S ribosomal RNA
Rfam family: Bacterial small subunit ribosomal RNA
Source: RNAcentral
GUGGGGAAUCUUGCGCAAUGGGCGAAAGCCUGACGCAGCCAUGCCGCGUGAAUGAUGAAGGUCUUAGGAUUGUAAAAUUCUUUCACCGGGGACGAUAAUGACGGUACCUACAGAAGAAGCCCCGGCUAACUUCGUGCCAGCAGCCGCGGUAAUACGAAGGGGGCUAGCGUUGUUCGGAUUUACUGGGCGUAAAGCGCACGUAGGCGGAUUGGUCAGUUAGAGGUGAAAUCCUGGAGCUCAACUCCAGAACUGCCUUUAAUACUGCCAGUCUAGAGGCCGGAAGAGGUGAGUGGAACUCCUAGUGUAGAGGUGGAAUUCGUAGAUAUUAGGAAGAACACCAGUGGCGAAGGCGGCUCACUGGUCUGGUACUGACGCUGAGGUGCGAAAGCGUGGGGAGCAAACAGGAUUAGAAACCCGAGUAGUCC